GUGGGGAAUCUUCCGCAAUGGACGAAAGUCUGACGGAGCAACGCCGCGUGAGUGAAGAAGGUUUUCGGAUCGUAAAGCUCUUUCGUUAGGGACGAACGUGCUCUUUGUGAAUAAUGAGGAGUAAUGACGGUACCUAAAUAAGAAGCCACGGCUAACUACGUGCCAGCAGCCGCGGUAAUACGUAGGUGGCAAGCGUUGUCCGGAAUUAUUGGGCGUAAAGCGCGCGCAGGCGGGAUAUCAAGUCUGUCUUAAAAGUGCGAGGCUCAACCUCGUGAGGGGACAGAAACUGGUAUUCUUGAGUGUCGGAGAGGAAAGUGGAAUUCCAAGUGUAGCGGUGAAAUGCGUAGAGAUGUGGAAGAACACCAGUGGCGAAGGCGACUUUCUGGACGAUGUCUGACGCUGAGGCGCGAAAGCUAGGGGAGCGAACGGGAUUAGAUACCCCAGUAGUCC
This 450-nucleotide ribosomal RNA is filed under the name uncultured bacterium. RNAcentral describes it as "partial 16S ribosomal RNA". It matches the Rfam family "Bacterial small subunit ribosomal RNA", at positions 354 to 796 of the family's 1533-position model. The record is from RNAcentral.